RNAcentral lists this long non-coding RNA (278 nucleotides) under Olea europaea (common olive). RNAcentral describes it as "long non-coding RNA (OEUR_LNC013388)". Lineage: Eukaryota; Viridiplantae; Streptophyta; Magnoliopsida; Lamiales; Oleaceae. The record is from RNAcentral.
GAGAACGGGAGAGGCUAGUAAAAAUCGAGAAUGCGAAGGAAGAAAAAGAAGAAAAGAAAGGAAAGGAAGAAGCUGAUGACUUUUGCAUGUUUGGGUUUUUCAUUUAUUCAAUUUAUGCUUCUUUUAAAGAGGUAUGUUAAUUAAAUUUCUAGGGUAUAUGAACAAUUCAUUUAUAUUCGAAGUUUAGCAAGAAUUAGAGAUUAUUAAUAUGUAUUUGAGGUAUUAAACAAGAGUAUAUCAAGGAAAUGUAUAAAGGAAGAUUAAUGUUGUAGAAAGUG